UGGAUAUCAUGGGAUAAACUGGCAACACCAAAGGUUCAGGGUGGUAUGGGUUUUAGGGAGUUUCAGAGGUUCAAUCUCGCACUACUUGGCAAGCAUGGCUGGCGAUUCCUAACUGACCCAAACUCAAUGUGUGCGCGCGUCUUGAAGGGGAAGUACUUCCCAGAUUCAGAUUUUAUGCAAGCCCAUGCACCGUCUUCGGCGUCGGCCACUUGGAAGGCUAUCGUGGCGGGACGAUCGGCGCUUGAACUUGGUCUCAUUAAAUGCAUUGGCAAUGGCGAAUCAGUUUCUAUUUGA
This 294-nucleotide ribosomal RNA is filed under the name Triticum aestivum (bread wheat). RNAcentral describes it as "partial small subunit ribosomal RNA". The record is from RNAcentral. Lineage: Eukaryota; Viridiplantae; Streptophyta; Magnoliopsida; Poales; Poaceae.